GCGGUUCACAACUCUGAGUGAACCGCUUCAGAUCAAGGGGCAAGGAACUCGACCGGAAGUUGAAGUCGGGUGGGGGCUGCCAUCUUUUAGCAGAACUUCACUUGCGUUAGCAUUCCCAUUGACUCCCAUUCAUUUUGGCGUCACUUUGACAGCGAAUAACUUUACAUCUGAGGCGUUUAAAGACUCUGUUUGUCCAUUAUUUAUUUCUAAAGAUACACAACAAUGUAUAAAGGGCUCCAUUACCUUCUAUGUUACAUUAUGGCCCCGUAGAAACAGUUUUUGUAAAAAAUAGGCUAACGAUUGCGUCAUAACCACUCGUCUCUCUGUCGCAUUACCGUACAGACAGGUGGAGAAGCUCGCAGGCAAUUAACUUAAUAUGGCGUACUGGCGUUACAUUUUAAAAUACUAUACAAAAUAAUUAAUCAGAAUACUUACUCCUGCUCACUCAUGACAAAGAACUCCCCGCUCAAGCUCACCGUCUCUGCAAGAUUAACGAUGGCAGUUUGCACGCACAGCUACUAGAAGAUUUACAUCUGUCAGACAGGUUGCUGACGUCGUCAAGCUUCGUUUGAGUCUGCGCGCCAGAAACGGAAGUGCUAAAAAACGCUAAAACUGGGCUUCAUUUGUCUCAAUUGAGUUCCAAUGGGGUCGCUGUGUCCAUUUCUUUUACUGUCUAUGGGUCCUAAGCGGACUCAAUUUCUCGGGCGGAUUCGAUUUCUUUUUCUGUCUAUGGAUUUCUCAUGACACCGGCCGCGCCUAUAUCCGUCUACGUCACGUUCUCAUUAAAUUUCAAACAGGAAGAAGCGUCAAGGAGACUGAAGUGAAGAAGUUUGUGUUGUUUUUAAUCGGUAAAAGAAGGAAAUAUUGUUUUGCGAUCGCCAGAAAGAAGAAGAAGUUGUUGUUGUUUUCUGUAUUUGCCAGUUGCCCAGAAGAGGAAGAAGUUAUCUGCCAUGGCUUAUCCUAAAGUCCAAACCUGAUCCAGAACAGUUCUGCCAUGAUGGGGGGAUUUGAAUGUUCUCUCUUACACUUCACCUAGAGAACCACAUAAGUCAUACAGUGGAGCAUGGAGGUUACUUCAUCUUAAAAUGAAUGGCCCAUGGAAGAUCAAUAAAACCAAGGUUGUCAGAGUCCACCAUCACAAACAGCCAGCAAGUACGGAAACUGUGAUGGGUCAAGAUGACAGUGAUAAGAAGAUCGAAGUGGAACUGAAGAGGAAGUUCGGAGAGGAACAUAAGGGACAUUGGUGUAGCAUGGUGCUGGGUUCAGAGCCACUGUGAGCUGUUCCAUGGAGAGGUGACAGAGCCUGAAUUUCUCCAGAUGGACGAAGAAAAACAGUCUGAUAUAAUCAAAGACUACCUGAAAGGAGAGACUGAGAAAGCAAGGGAUGCCUGUGUGUUUGUCUUUGACAAUCACGAGGAAAUGGAAACAUUCUUAUUAAAAUGUGUUGAUGAACAGGGGCUGAAAUUCAAUACCAUGUUUCUGGGAGUCAUUUAAUUUAUAAUCAUUUAUUUACUCUACAUUGUUGAAUAUUAUUGUUUUGUGAAAUAAAUAUAACAAUACCCAGUGAAACAA
Long non-coding RNA from Carassius gibelio (silver crucian carp), 1572 nucleotides. RefSeq lists it as uncharacterized. NCBI's taxonomy places the organism in Eukaryota, Metazoa, Chordata, Actinopteri, Cypriniformes, Cyprinidae. The transcript has 6 exons. The record is from RefSeq and is a predicted model, not a curated record.